AAGUCGUAACAAGGUUUCCGUAGGUGAACCUGCGGAAGGAUCAUUAACACAUCCCAUUUCCAAUUUCAUACCUUUGUGAACAGUCGAUGCCACGAGAUGGUUGGACGAUUUGCACUAUGGUUUCAGAGCCUGCUCUCUUACCUUAACACGGGAGAGGGUGAGCUGGUGCUGUCGACCUGCUGCCGGGGCGCAACCGGGCUCUCUUUCAUUAGAGCUGCUCGGAAGCGUGCUUAGCCGGCCAAGAACCUAUCGUCGGUAAUUCAGCUUCUACCAUGGCUGGCCCUUUUUUUUCUUUCAACAAACCUGCAGCUUCUUACUGAUUUUCGGCUUCGGAUCGAGAGGAGCAAUCCUUUCUUCGAGGUCUUCGGAUUUUUCAACAAUCCAAAACACAACUCUUAACAGCGGAUAUCUCGGUUCUC
This 419-nucleotide unclassified non-coding RNA is filed under the name fungal sp. RNAcentral's name for it is "partial internal transcribed spacer region". The stretch from base 1 to 46 matches the Rfam family "Eukaryotic small subunit ribosomal RNA", at positions 1786 to 1831 of the family's 1831-position model. The record is from RNAcentral. Lineage: Eukaryota; Fungi.